UACGGGGGGGGCAAGCGUUGUUCGGAAUUACUGGGCGUAAAGGGCUCGUAGGCGGCCAACUAAGUCAGACGUGAAAUCCCUCGGCUUAACCGGGGAACUGCGUCUGAUACUGGAUGGCUUGAAUCCGGGAGAGGGAUGCGGAAUUCCAGGUGUAGCGGUGAAAUGCGUAGAUAUCUGGAGGAACACCGGUGGCGAAGGCGGCAUCCUGGACCAACACUGACGCUGAGGAGCGAAAGCCAGGGAAGCAAACGGG
Molecule: ribosomal RNA, 253 nt
Filed under: uncultured bacterium
Lineage: Bacteria
Description: partial 16S ribosomal RNA
Rfam family: Bacterial small subunit ribosomal RNA
Source: RNAcentral